AUGCCACGUUGCUGUUUGGGCUGCUUUCAGCUCUUUUGGUGGUCUCGUGGUGUCACCCUGGCCUCUCCCAGCAAUGCCAAGGACAGCCCUGGGUGCCGUCCGGCCUCCUCCUCGCCCUCCCUGAUGCCCCAGGGACCCGUUUGCGCUGCUAGAGGAGCUCUCGCUUCCCACCCGGAGCUUCCCCUCCUCUGCACGCGGGUUGCUUCGGAAAUGCCCUCCUUGGGGUUUCUCAUGAGCUUCAUGGACCAGGUGGUCUCCAGAGGUCCCUUCCGACCUCAGCUACGCUUUGAUUCUCCAAAGCCGCGCGGCCGAGUCGUGGCCGGAGGCGACACGGGGAGGCGGCGGUGCCACCGGACCCGUCAGGUCCCACGGAUGUGGCGUCGCCUCGGCACAACGCAACCAAGGACUAGGAGAGCGGGGCCGAGCAGCGGUGGUUCCCGAGUCCCUCCUACGCCGCCGCCGCGAUGGAGCGCCGGCAGCCGCCCAGGGCGGGACGCGGCGAGCUCGGCGGGACAGACCGAGCCCAAAAACCCGGAGGAUGGGUCUGGCAGCGCGGUUCGGGGCCGCUUCGCUCCCCCCUGCCACCAUCCCGCGCUGCGGAGGAGCAAAGGUUUUCCGGAGCUGCGGAAAAUCUCACCGGCAUUUGGUCCCUGUCGUCAAAAACGUGCCGAAAAUAAGCUGGCUCAGGGAGCGCGUUGCUGCGUCCUGCCCGGCCGGGUGUCGACGGGAGCGGCGACGGGAUCGCGGGCAAAGCGGCUCCCGUCGAGCCGCAAGGUCAUCGCCUGCCCUUCGCUCCUAAAUCCUCAAAUUUCACGCGCAGGCUGGAUUUUGGCAUCGCCGGGAGCUCCUCUCGCCUCCCAGUUACGCCGUAGCCUCUCCUGUUCUGGGGCGGGUAAUAUGUUAUUAGCGAGAUCCUUAGCAAACUGUUACUCCUGCGGUAGCCGGGGGCGGGGGGGGGAAAAGAAGGAAAAAAGGAAAGCCUUCCGGCAGAAGUUUGGGAUGAGGAAAACCUUAAAUGCCAGGGGAGGGCUGCAAACCCGCAAACCCGUCCCCGGAAUGACCGCGGCGGUUCGCGCAGGGCUCCGGGGACGAAGCGCUCGCCGCCGCUUCGCAAAGACGCGGCCGCCGUUCGGCCGCCGAGCGAGUUUUUCCUCCGCCGCCGGGUUUCGUUGCGGCGCGCCAACUCCCUCUCCUAAAAUAAAGGGGGUGGGAAAAAAAAGAAAAGGAAAAAAAGCCCUUGUGUUAAUUUAA
RNAcentral lists this long non-coding RNA (1251 nucleotides) under Apteryx owenii (little spotted kiwi). Its description in RNAcentral is "lncRNA (ENSAOWG00000003476.1)". The record is from RNAcentral. Lineage: Eukaryota; Metazoa; Chordata; Aves; Apterygiformes; Apterygidae.